GAUGAAGAACGUAGCGAAAUGCGAUAAGUAAUGUGAAUUGCAGAAUUCAGUGAAUCAUCGAAUCUUUGAACGCACAUUGCGCCCGCCAGUAUUCUGGCGGGCAUGCCUAUUCGAGCGUCAUUUCAACCAUCAAGCCCCAGGCUUGUGUUGGGGACCUGCGGCUGCCGCAGGCCCUGAAAACCAGUGGCGGGCUCGCUGUCACACCGGGCGUAGUAGAUUUUAUCUCGCUCUGGGCGUGCUGCGGGUUCCGGCCGUUAAAAAACCCUUUUAACCCAAGGUUGACCUCGGAUCAGGUAGGAAUACCCGCUGAACUUAAGCAUAUCAAUAAGCGGAGGA
This 336-nucleotide unclassified non-coding RNA is filed under the name soil metagenome. RNAcentral's name for it is "partial contains 5.8S ribosomal RNA, internal transcribed spacer 2, and large subunit ribosomal RNA". The stretch from base 1 to 120 matches the Rfam family "5.8S ribosomal RNA", at positions 35 to 154 of the family's 154-position model. The record is from RNAcentral.